This 108-nucleotide ribosomal RNA is filed under the name Escherichia coli. RNAcentral also lists the same sequence under 6 other names. Lineage: Bacteria; Pseudomonadati; Pseudomonadota; Gammaproteobacteria; Enterobacterales; Enterobacteriaceae. The record is from RNAcentral.
CCUGGCGGCAGUAGCGCGGUGGUCCCACCUGACCCCAUGCCGAACUCAGAAGUGAAACGCCGUAGCGCCGAUGGUAGUGUGGGGUCUCCCCAUGCGAGAGUAGGGAAC